GUUUGAUAUUAAUACUAACAUCAAAAGUAGAUUGCUUGCCAUUUGGUUAGGAAUUGGUCUGCGGCAUUUUCCACAAGUGUGGUUUCCCUGGCCAAUCCACUUGUAAUGUGUAUUUUGUAAAUAACGCAAAAUGUGCAUUAGAAGUGGAUUGGUCAAGAGAACCGCACUUGUGCAAAAUACCGCAGUCCAAUUUCUGACAAAAUGACAAGCAAUCCAUUUUGGAUGGCUUGUCUGUAUCGAGC
This 242-nucleotide microRNA precursor is filed under the name Arabidopsis lyrata. RNAcentral's name for it is "miR3440 stem-loop (aly-MIR3440)". The stretch from base 60 to 186 matches the Rfam family "MIR3440 microRNA precursor family". The record is from miRBase by way of RNAcentral. Lineage: Eukaryota; Viridiplantae; Streptophyta; Magnoliopsida; Brassicales; Brassicaceae.